This 253-nucleotide ribosomal RNA is filed under the name uncultured bacterium. Its description in RNAcentral is "partial 16S ribosomal RNA". It matches the Rfam family "Bacterial small subunit ribosomal RNA", at positions 524 to 776 of the family's 1533-position model. The record is from RNAcentral.
UACGGGGGGGGCAAGCGUUGUUCGGAAUUACUGGGCGUAAAGCGCGUGUAGGCGGUUGUCCAAGUUGGAUGUGAAAGCCUUGAGCUCAACUCAAGAAAUGCAUUCAGGACUGGAUGACUAGAGGACCGGAGAGGAUAGUGGAAUUCCCAGUGUAGUGGUGAAAUACGUAGAGAUUGGGAAGAACACCAGUGGCGAAGGCGGCUAUCUGGACGGUUUCUGACGCUAAGACGCGAAAGCGUGGGGAGCAAACAGG